This 460-nucleotide ribosomal RNA is filed under the name uncultured bacterium. RNAcentral describes it as "partial 16S ribosomal RNA". It matches the Rfam family "Bacterial small subunit ribosomal RNA", at positions 338 to 795 of the family's 1533-position model. The record is from RNAcentral.
CCUACGGGUGGCAGCAGUGAGGAAUAUUGGUCAAUGGACGAGAGUCUGAACCAGCCAAGUAGCGUGAAGGAUGACUGCCCUAUGGGUUGUAAACUUCUUUUAUAUGGGAAUAAAAUGUUCCACGUGUGGGAUUUUGUAUGUACCAUAUGAAUAAGGAUCGGCUCACUCCGUGCCAGCAGCCGCGGUAAUACGGAGGAUCCGAGCGUUAUCCGGAUUUAUUGGGUUUAAAGGGAGCGUAGGUGGAUUGUUAAGUCAGUUGUGAAAGUUUGCGGCUCAACCGUAAAAUUGCAGUUGAAACUGGCAGUCUUGAGUACAGUAGAGGUGGGCGGAAUUCGUGGUGUAGCGGUGAAAUGCUUAGAUAUCACGAAGAACUCCGAUUGCGAAGGCAGUUCACUGGACUGCAACUGACACUGAGGCUCGAAAGUGUGGGUAUCAAACAGGAUUAGAUACCCGUGUAGUC